AUGAGUUCGUCGACUAAUUCCGCAGCAGCAUACCCUCCUCAUCCCCAACCUUACUCGAUGGCGCCCGGAUCCUAUUACGUGCAGGCUCCGCCACCUGCUGGUUAUCCCACAAGAGAUGCUCCAAAUCCUGCUUCCGCUCAUCAUGGGCCUGUAGAAACCAAGUCCAAGGGUGAUGGCUUCUGGAAGGGAUGUUGUGCUGCCUUGUGUUGUUGUUGUCUCUUGGAUGCUUGUUUUUGA
RNAcentral lists this long non-coding RNA (237 nucleotides) under Prunus dulcis (almond). RNAcentral describes it as "sRNA ncRNA". The record is from RNAcentral. Lineage: Eukaryota; Viridiplantae; Streptophyta; Magnoliopsida; Rosales; Rosaceae.